GACGAACGCUGGCGGCGUGCUUAACACAUGCAAGUCGAACGGAAAGGCCCUGCUUUUGUGGGGUGCUCGAGUGGCGAACGGGUGAGUAACACGUGAGUAACCUGCCCUUGACUUUGGGAUAACUUCAGGAAACUGGGGCUAAUACCGGAUAGGAGCUCCUGCUGCAUGGUGGGGGUUGGAAAGUUUCGGCGGUUGGGGAUGGACUCGCGGCUUAUCAGCUUGUUGGUGGGGUAGUGGCUUACCAAGGCUUUGACGGGUAGCCGGCCUGAGAGGGUGACCGGAGACAGUGGAGGGGAGGCGCGGACAUGCCGCGGAGGGAGGGGGGCAGGGGGGAGCGAGAGCGGGCGGGGGGAGGGCUGAGGAACGAGCGGGGGGGUGGGGUGGACGGCGUUGGGGUUGCCAACCGAUGGGGGCGGGGACGAAGGGUAUGGGACGGGAAUGGGAAAACAACAACGGGCUACGUACGUGACGGCGGCCGAGGUAAGGUAGAGGAACAGAACACAUCUGAAC
RNAcentral lists this ribosomal RNA (510 nucleotides) under uncultured bacterium. Its description in RNAcentral is "partial 16S ribosomal RNA". The stretch from base 20 to 332 matches the Rfam family "Bacterial small subunit ribosomal RNA", at positions 47 to 358 of the family's 1533-position model. The record is from RNAcentral.